AGAGAGAGAGAGAGAGAGCACUAAAAUUAGAAACUAAUAGUUCUAGGAAUAGAAGCCAGGAAAAAUGCAGCAAACAUCCAAAGUUACAACUUAAAAAUAGACAACUGCACAAUGCACAUAGUUGCUGAACACAACCAAUGAUAUCUUUAAAGGCAAAAGCCAUUUGGAAUUAUAGCCAUUAUGCAAUUGAUGUCAACCACAAAGCUCAUUGAUCUGCCCAAUCACACAAAUCAGACAAUGGUAAGUUGACAAAGGUUACAAUUUCAUCUAAGAAUUAUAAAAGCCACUGUUAUAUGUUCAUUAUAAUCAACGGACGAUAACACCAAAUGCCUAUUGGAUUCCUUUUCUCACCCUCUUUUCUUUUUUUAAUUCUUCUCAACCAUCUUUUCUAUAAGAGAUAAAGAACAGUAUAAGAGGAAAGGAUCUGAAAAAUAGAAUAAACCAAUUAUCAACAGAUGUAACAAAAGAAAGCAACGCUAUAUAAAAGAGAGUAACAAUGCUCUCUUGAACCUAACAUAUCUAGUGUGAGCACCAUAUUAGCCAGUCUUCUUCAGACAACACCGUAUGACUACUAGCUAACCGAGCCACUUCUAACUUUGUUUUUCAACACCAUAAAUACUGCAGUAGAAAUGGAUUCAUUUAUUGUUGUCCCUUCUAGAUCCAACAUUUAUCUUUGGCAUUAACAAACCCUCAUUUGACCAUUUUACCAAGAAUCAAACUAGUGACAGAGCUUCACAAAAAUAAUCUUAUAAGCAGUUGUACAGCAGGAUUUGUGAAGAUUAAAAGUGUCUUGUUUUAAAUAUUCUGAUAGAGCACCCACAAACAAUUUGUUAAAAAAAAUCCUAAAUUUAUCUUAAUUUUUAUGAAUCCUCCUUGUCACAUACAUCUAAAAAGUAGCUGUAGCUAGCUGAUAAUCAACAUCAGUCCAUUUAAGUUUGAUGUCAACAAAGUUAAUAAAAUGUACAUUUCAAAAAUAGUGUUGCACCAAAGAUGGCACUAUGUUUUACACACAUUAGAUACUACAGAAGCUAUCAUUUUCCUGUUGCUAAACAUAUCAAGAAAACCUACACAAGAAAAUUUUAUAGUGGAGUGCAAGACCAUCUCAACCAUCAAAUCUGACUGAAGAGGUAACUAACAAAGAUAGGGCAGAGCAUAAAGGUAGACAUAUCUCACUGAGUAUGUGAGGAGAGUUUCCA
This 1196-nucleotide unclassified non-coding RNA is filed under the name Hevea brasiliensis (rubber tree). Lineage: Eukaryota; Viridiplantae; Streptophyta; Magnoliopsida; Malpighiales; Euphorbiaceae. The record is from RNAcentral.